UACGGAGGGGGCUAGCGUUGUUCGGAAUUACUGGGCGUAAAGCGCGCGUAGGCGGCUUUGUAAGUUAGAGGUGAAAGCCCCGGAGCUCAACUCCGGAAUUGCCUUUAAGACUGCAUCGCUAGAAUCAUGGAGAGGUGAGUGGAAUUCCUGGUGUAGCGGUGAAAAUGCGCAGAUAUCAGGAGGAACACCAAUUGCGAAGGCAGCUCGCUGGGACGUUACUGACGCUGAGACGCGAAAGCGUGGGGGAGCAAACAGG
RNAcentral lists this ribosomal RNA (256 nucleotides) under uncultured bacterium. RNAcentral describes it as "partial 16S ribosomal RNA". It matches the Rfam family "Bacterial small subunit ribosomal RNA", at positions 524 to 776 of the family's 1533-position model. The record is from RNAcentral.